This 107-nucleotide small nuclear RNA is filed under the name Myotis davidii. Lineage: Eukaryota; Metazoa; Chordata; Mammalia; Chiroptera; Vespertilionidae. The record is from RNAcentral.
GUGCUCACUUUGGCAGCACAUAUACUAAAACUGGAAUGAUACAGAGAAGAUUAGCAUGGCCCCUGUGCAAGGAUGACAUGCAAAUUCAUGAAGCAUUCCGUAUUUUU